RNAcentral lists this long non-coding RNA (586 nucleotides) under Equus caballus (horse). RNAcentral describes it as "lncRNA (ENSECAG00000038389.3)". The record is from RNAcentral. Lineage: Eukaryota; Metazoa; Chordata; Mammalia; Perissodactyla; Equidae.
CAGGACUUUCUAUCCCCCGGUGGCUGCAGGAACCCUGGGUUGAUUUUGCAUCAGGAGCAUCAAGUCUCCUAGCGGUGAGGGAAAGGAGAGGAGAGUAGAAAGUUAAGUGCAGAAAUUCACCCAUGCGAGACCCUUAUGAUGCUCAGUGGUGCUGAUUGGAAGUGCUGGAGGAGAAUCUCUCCAACAUAGAGGGAAUCAUUAGCCACCCAAACCUGUCUGUUGAGAAGACUCCCAGAAACCCCUUGGACCCACAGUUGCUGAGUGUGCCGGGACUGGCCUUGGAUAGCUCUCCAGCCUUACAAGGGACAGCAGUGUUUUGAGGACAUUUGUGGGAUUUUCAUUAGCUCUGUCUCUCCUCUCUUUCUCCCAUGUAGGAAGAGGGGAUGACAACCUCACUGUUGUAGAAAAGGAAACAGUGGCAUUGAUUCAAACCAGUAAAAGACACCUCUUGGUUCCCUGGUACAACUCCGUCUUUUAAAUGGUGACAUCUGUACUUAAAUGGUUAUACCAGGUAUUCUGCCUGAAAUCUUACUCUACUGUUUGAGUAGUUAGAGAUCCACAGGUUAAUUAAAGACUUUAAUUUUCC